CAACCAGAUUCUCGAAAUGAUCUUCGCCGAUAACGUUUCUAGCAAAAAUUACCUAGCAACAAUCGUUUCAUCGUUGAUAUUACGGAUUUCGAUGGAAAGAAUGUGCUCUGCCUUCGGUGAAAUAUUGUUGUUAGAAAGACUUGUCAAUGUUAAUAGCCAACGUAAUUAGCGCGCUUCGAUGCGACGUUCACGUCGAAAUACACGAGUGAAUCGGUAAAAAUUACGAAUACGUGAUCAUAUCGAAAGAUGGCGCAGAAGUUGUCAAACGGAUUUAACAAUGAUUUAGUAACGCCUAAUUAGACAAAGCGGAAGUCGUGAGUUUCAAUUCUUUGGAUAAUUAAUAAUCCCUCGUCUCGCGACUGAUCGGUAUUUCCUAUAUUCCUGAUUAAAAAUGAUCCUGAAUUACGAUGAAUCCCGAUUUAAUCUGAACUCUAAUCAAUUCUGAUCCGAACUGGGACAGAGGAAGAGUAACCCUCGGCAUCCUAACGAUGAAAAACUACCUGUAAGACUAUAGUUUAACGUCAACUGUCAACGUCUCCUAUCUAUUAUCGUUAACAGUGUACAACGACGCACUAACUGUACCCUAAGGAAUCUAUGUUACCUGUCAACAUUCGAAACGGUGCGUGUCGCGCUAAAAGCAUGCCCGCAAGGAAAACAGACACGAACGGGGCGCGUUUAAACGUCUAAAACCUCUCGCGCGCGGUUACUAUUUAAAACUUCAGUUCCGAAGGUUCUUAUAAAAAGGGGACGUACGUCGUGCCAUCUUGUCCGCCGUCCGCCAUUGGAACGCGUUUACGCGUGUCGGCAUGGAAACGGCGAGGCUCGUUCUUUUGAUCAAUGUUCCGCGCCGAUCGCGUGUGUCGGUUGCUUUGAUUGCGUACUUAAUUAGUAAGUGACAGGUACGGUAAAUUACGCGCGGAUCAAAUCGUUGCCCAAAGAUUUUACAUUCCCGGGCCUGCGCGACGACGAACGACUCGCGGUCCUCGAAACGAUUCAGCAGAUUGCGGAUCAUUGUUUAAUUAUAGAUCUAUAUAGAGCAGUUUAUAGAAAUUUUCUUUGUUCGGAAGUUUCUCUUACCGAACGUUUUGCUAUUUCGAAGAAAAGAGAAAUCUGGGAUUGCAUUUGAAGUGUCUGCGCGAGUCUAAUUCGAUGAUUCGAAGAGACAGAGAAAAUAGAGAUGCGAGAUUGCAUUUGAAGUCUUGGAUGCUCUUCGAAGUGUUUGAUUUGGUAAUUAGAAGAGAGAAAGGGGAUCGAGAAGGCUUUGGAGCCAUAAAAUCCGCAGUCUACAGAUAACGGACGAGGCGAGUCGUUCACUGCGAUCGAACCUGUUCUCGCGUGACACCGAUCGUUCCCUGCCGCAACGCCGUGACAAAUCGACGUCGCGCGAAUCAACCGCGACAGAAACUAAAGAAUGCAGGAAGUGCUAGCGCGCGUUGGUACACGGUAAUUUUAGAAAUCGGUGCGAAAGACGGUAUACCGUGAAACAUUAGGAAAGAGAUGAGAUUUGAAUAUUUUGAUUGGAAGUAAAAAGUUCAGUAGUCUUUUCUUUUGUUCGUAAAAAUCUAUGUACAGAAUGUGAAAAGAACAGAGAAGCUACCUUUCCGUAUCGUUAAUCUUGUAAAGAGACGUUGUUAUAAUAAAUGUUCGAUCUUUUACACUUGUUACUACUAGUGCCAAGCCCAUCUACUUUAA
This is a non-coding RNA of Nomia melanderi (Alkali bee), 1692 nucleotides long. Lineage: Eukaryota; Metazoa; Arthropoda; Insecta; Hymenoptera; Halictidae. The record is from RefSeq and is a predicted model, not a curated record.